CGGGGGUCCAGGAGGCCGGCCAGCGCAUGGAGGAGGAGGCCAUGAACGGCGACCGGACUGAGAGCGACUGGCAGGGGCUGGUGAGCGAGAUAAGGAAACAGUGGCUCAGACAGGCUAAGGAACUUGCACAGAGCCUCACAUCUGUACCUGGUGUGUAAGAGGAAGCUGGAGAGUAAGAAGGAAGCCCUGCUGAUCCUCUCCAAGGAGCUGGACACCUGUCAACAGGAAAGGGACCAGUACAAACUCAUGGCCAAUCAGCUCCGGGAGCGCCACCAGUCACUGAAGAAGAAGUACCGAGAGCUG
RNAcentral lists this long non-coding RNA (303 nucleotides) under Homo sapiens (human). RNAcentral describes it as "HSALNT0070203". Lineage: Eukaryota; Metazoa; Chordata; Mammalia; Primates; Hominidae. The record is from RNAcentral.